This 2906-nucleotide ribosomal RNA is filed under the name Klebsiella variicola. RNAcentral's name for it is "bacterial LSU rRNA". It matches the Rfam family "Bacterial large subunit ribosomal RNA". Lineage: Bacteria; Pseudomonadati; Pseudomonadota; Gammaproteobacteria; Enterobacterales; Enterobacteriaceae. The record is from RNAcentral.
GGUUAAGCGACUAAGCGUACACGGUGGAUGCCCUGGCAGUCAGAGGCGAUGAAGGACGUGCUAAUCUGCGAAAAGCGUCGGUAAGGUGAUAUGAACCGUUAUAGCCGGCGAUGUCCGAAUGGGGAAACCCAGUGCAAUUCGUUGCACUAUCGUUAACUGAAUACAUAGGUUAACGAGGCGAACCGGGGGAACUGAAACAUCUAAGUACCCCGAGGAAAAGAAAUCAACCGAGAUUCCCCCAGUAGCGGCGAGCGAACGGGGAGCAGCCCAGAGUCUGAAUCAGCUUGUGUGUUAGUGGAACGGUCUGGAAAGUCCGACGGUACAGGGUGAUAGUCCCGUACACCAAAAUGCACAGGCUGUGAACUCGAAGAGUAGGGCGGGACACGUGGUAUCCUGUCUGAAUAUGGGGGGACCAUCCUCCAAGGCUAAAUACUCCUGACUGACCGAUAGUGAACCAGUACCGUGAGGGAAAGGCGAAAAGAACCCCGGCGAGGGGAGUGAAAAAGAACCUGAAACCGUGUACGUACAAGCAGUGGGAGCACCUUUAUGGUGUGACUGCGUACCUUUUGUAUAAUGGGUCAGCGACUUAUAUUCUGUAGCAAGGUUAACCGUAUAGGGGAGCCGCAGGGAAACCGAGUCUUAACUGGGCGUUAAGUUGCAGGGUAUAGACCCGAAACCCGGUGAUCUAGCCAUGGGCAGGUUGAAGGUUGGGUAACACUAACUGGAGGACCGAACCGACUAAUGUUGAAAAAUUAGCGGAUGACUUGUGGCUGGGGGUGAAAGGCCAAUCAAACCGGGAGAUAGCUGGUUCUCCCCGAAAGCUAUUUAGGUAGCGCCUCGUGAAUUCAUCUUCGGGGGUAGAGCACUGUUUCGGCUAGGGGGUCAUCCCGACUUACCAACCCGAUGCAAACUACGAAUACCGAAGAAUGUUAUCACGGGAGACACACGGCGGGUGCUAACGUCCGUCGUGAAGAGGGAAACAACCCAGACCGCCAGCUAAGGUCCCAAAGUCAUGGUUAAGUGGGAAACGAUGUGGGAAGGCACAGACAGCCAGGAUGUUGGCUUAGAAGCAGCCAUCAUUUAAAGAAAGCGUAAUAGCUCACUGGUCGAGUCGGCCUGCGCGGAAGAUGUAACGGGGCUAAACCAUGCACCGAAGCUGCGGCAGCGACACUUAUGUGUUGUUGGGUAGGGGAGCGUUCUGUAAGCCUGCGAAGGUGGCCUGUGAGGGCUGCUGGAGGUAUCAGAAGUGCGAAUGCUGACAUAAGUAACGAUAAAGCGGGUGAAAAGCCCGCUCGCCGGAAGACCAAGGGUUCCUGUCCAACGUUAAUCGGGGCAGGGUGAGUCGACCCCUAAGGCGAGGCCGAAAGGCGUAGUCGAUGGGAAACAGGUUAAUAUUCCUGUACUUGGUGUUACUGCGAAGGGGGGACGGAGAAGGCUAUGUUAGCCGGGCGACGGUUGUCCCGGUUUAAGCAUGUAGGCGGAGGUUCCAGGUAAAUCCGGUACCUUUUAACGCUGAGGUGUGAUGACGAGGCACUACGGUGCUGAAGUAACAAAUGCCCUGCUUCCAGGAAAAGCCUCUAAGCAUCAGGUAACAUCAAAUCGUACCCCAAACCGACACAGGUGGUCAGGUAGAGAAUACCAAGGCGCUUGAGAGAACUCGGGUGAAGGAACUAGGCAAAAUGGUGCCGUAACUUCGGGAGAAGGCACGCUGGUGUGUAGGUGAAGUCCCUGCGGAUGGAGCUGAGACCAGUCGAAGAUACCAGCUGGCUGCAACUGUUUAUUAAAAACACAGCACUGUGCAAACACGAAAGUGGACGUAUACGGUGUGACGCCUGCCCGGUGCCGGAAGGUUAAUUGAUGGGGUUAUCCGUAAGGAGAAGCUCUUGAUCGAAGCCCCGGUAAACGGCGGCCGUAACUAUAACGGUCCUAAGGUAGCGAAAUUCCUUGUCGGGUAAGUUCCGACCUGCACGAAUGGCGUAAUGAUGGCCAGGCUGUCUCCACCCGAGACUCAGUGAAAUUGAACUCGCUGUGAAGAUGCAGUGUACCCGCGGCAAGACGGAAAGACCCCGUGAACCUUUACUAUAGCUUGACACUGAACAUUGAGCCUUGAUGUGUAGGAUAGGUGGGAGGCUUUGAAGCGUGGACGCCAGUCUGCGUGGAGCCAACCUUGAAAUACCACCCUUUAAUGUUUGAUGUUCUAACGUUGGCCCCUUAUCGGGGUUGCGGACAGUGUCUGGUGGGUAGUUUGACUGGGGCGGUCUCCUCCCAAAGAGUAACGGAGGAGCACGAAGGUUAGCUAAUCCUGGUCGGACAUCAGGAGGUUAGUGCAAUGGCAUAAGCUAGCUUGACUGCGAGCGUGACGGCGCGAGCAGGUGCGAAAGCAGGUCAUAGUGAUCCGGUGGUUCUGAAUGGAAGGGCCAUCGCUCAACGGAUAAAAGGUACUCCGGGGAUAACAGGCUGAUACCGCCCAAGAGUUCAUAUCGACGGCGGUGUUUGGCACCUCGAUGUCGGCUCAUCACAUCCUGGGGCUGAAGUAGGUCCCAAGGGUAUGGCUGUUCGCCAUUUAAAGUGGUACGCGAGCUGGGUUUAGAACGUCGUGAGACAGUUCGGUCCCUAUCUGCCGUGGGCGCUGGAGAAUUGAGGGGGGCUGCUCCUAGUACGAGAGGACCGGAGUGGACGCAUCACUGGUGUUCGGGUUGUCAUGCCAAUGGCACUGCCCGGUAGCUAAAUGCGGAAGAGAUAAGUGCUGAAAGCAUCUAAGCACGAAACUUGCCCCGAGAUGAGUUCUCCCUGAGACUAUAAGUCUCCUGAAGGAACGUUGAAGACGACGACGUUGAUAGGCCGGGUGUGUAAGCGCAGCGAUGCGUUGAGCUAACCGGUACUAAUGAACCGUGAGGCUUAACCUU